GACGAACGCUGGCGGCGCGCUUAACACAUGCCAGUCGAACGGAAAGGCCUGCUUUCCCUUGUGGAUUGCGGGUACUCGAGUGGCGAACGGGUGAGUAACACGUGAGUGAUCUGCCCCCAACUUGGGUAUAAGCCUGGGAAACUGGGUCUAAUUCCCGAUAGGACUGCAGGGUGGUGCCUGUGGUGGAAAACGAUUUUCUAGUGGUUGGGGAUGAGCUCGCGGCCUAUCAGCUUGUUGGUGGGGUAAUGGCCUACCAAGGCGGCGACGGGUAGCCGGCCUGAGAGGGUGGACGGCCACAUUGGGACUGAGAUACGGCCCAGACUCCUACGGGGGGCAGCAGUGGGGAAUAUUGCACAAUGGGCGGAAGCCUGAUGCAGCGACGCCGCGUGGGGGAUGACGGCCUUCGGGUUGUAAACUCCUUUCGACCGCGAGGAAGCCACCUGGUUGGAAGGGUGGUGACGGUAGUGGUAGAAGAAGCACCGGCUAACUACGUG
RNAcentral lists this ribosomal RNA (494 nucleotides) under uncultured bacterium. RNAcentral's name for it is "partial 16S ribosomal RNA". It matches the Rfam family "Bacterial small subunit ribosomal RNA", at positions 28 to 507 of the family's 1533-position model. The record is from RNAcentral.